RNAcentral lists this ribosomal RNA (492 nucleotides) under uncultured bacterium. RNAcentral's name for it is "partial 16S ribosomal RNA". It matches the Rfam family "Bacterial small subunit ribosomal RNA", at positions 29 to 507 of the family's 1533-position model. The record is from RNAcentral.
AGUGAACGCUGGCGGUAGGCCUAACACAUGCAAGUCGAACGGCAGCACAGUAAGAGCUUGCUCUUACGGGUGGCGAGUGGCGGACGGGUGAGGAAUACAUCGGAAUCUACUUUUUCUUGGGGGAUAACGUAGGGAAACUUACGCUAAUACCGCAUACGACCUACGGGUGAAAGCAGUGGAUCUUCGGACCUUGCGCGAUUGAAUGAGCCGAUGUCGGAUUAGCUAGUUGGCGGGGUAAAGGCCCACCAAGGCGACGAUCCGUAGCUGGUCUGAGAGGAUGAUCAGCCACACUGGAACUGAGACACGGUCCAGACUCCUACGGGAGGCAGCAGUGGGGAAUAUUGGACAAUGGGCGCAAGCCUGAUCCAGCCAUACCGCGUGGGUGAAGAAGGCCUUCGGGUUGUAAAGCCCUUUUGUUGGGAAAGAAAAGCAGCAGGUUAAUACCCCGCUGUUCUGACGGUACCCAAAGAAUAAGCACCGGCUAACUUCGUG